Non-coding RNA from Acanthosepion pharaonis, 99 nucleotides. NCBI's taxonomy places the organism in Eukaryota, Metazoa, Mollusca, Cephalopoda, Sepiida, Sepiidae. The record is from the annotation of a GenBank genome assembly.
UACGUUGGCACCUGUUCUCGUACGAUCAUCGAAGUUAAGCAACAUAGAACCUGAUGAGUACCUAGAUGGGUGACCGUUUGGGAAUAUCAGGUGUUGUAA